RNAcentral lists this long non-coding RNA (2483 nucleotides) under Salmo salar (Atlantic salmon). Its description in RNAcentral is "lncRNA (ENSSSAG00000113947.1)". The record is from RNAcentral. Lineage: Eukaryota; Metazoa; Chordata; Actinopteri; Salmoniformes; Salmonidae.
CGGGAAGCAAGUUCAGGGAGUGAGUGUUUUAAUAAAAAUAAACGGAACAUAAUACAAAACAAGAACCGCGAACAACGCACAGAUAUGAAACAGAAAGAAUGACGCCUGAAGAAGGAACCAAAGGGAGUGACAUAUAUAGGGCAGGUAAUCAAGGAAGUGAUGGAGGACAGGUGAGUCUGACGAUGCGCAGGUGAGUGUAACGAUGGUGACAGGUGUGCGCUAUAACGAGCAGCCUGGUGACCUAGAGGCCGGAGAGGGAACACAUGUGACAGCAGCUUGAUGAGAGCUAGUCAAUAUUUAAAUCACCCAGAAAAUAUACUUCUCUUUUGAUAUCACAUACAUUAUCAAGCAUUUCACACAUAUUAUCCAGAUACUGACUGUUAGCACAGAUGAACUUGUAGCCGUAUUACUUUAACAGUAUUUAACAUUAGAUCGUCUCUAAGCUUUACAGGAAUGUUUUUUUUUUACAUAGACCGCAACACCGCCCCGUUGGCAUUUCUGUGUUUUCGGUAAAAGUUAUAACCAUGUAUUGCUACCACUGUGUCAUCAAAGAUAUUAUCUAAGUGAGUUUCAGAGAUAGUCAGAAUAUGGAUGUUACAAGCAAGUUAUUGACUUCAUGAACCUUGUUUCUCAGGCUGCAUAUGUGAAUAUGGGCUCUUUUAAGCACUUUUCUGGGUUGGUUGAUUGUUUUUAAUGCUUUAUUGGGAAGCUUAUCAGAAGAAGACUUGAUAGUGCAGGGUGAGCUGCACAAAGUGGUCUUCCUAUAGGGGACACCACCUCAAUGCUAACAGUGUAACUCUGGUUCAUAGGCUCAUGAUUACUGCAUCCAAUAGCUGUAGGAUUAACAAAGGUAUGCAUGGCUAUUAGGGGGACGAAGUCAAUGUUCCCAGAGGAGGACGGAAACUAGCUGUCCUCCGGCUACACCAUCGUGCUACCGGCAGAGUACUGUUGAGGCUAUUGCAGACCUUCACUGCAAAACAGUGUGUUUUAAUCAAUUAUUUUGUGAUGUGAAUAUUUAGUAUAGAUUUAUCUAAAAAGGAUUACUUUUUUAAUGUUUCACUUUUUCUUUUCUCUGAAGUUCACUGAGGAGGAUGGUCCUCUCCUUCCACCUCUCAGGAGCCUCCACUGGUUCAAACUGACCGUCAAUGAUCUGACACCUGCCUGGACAAUCUUUCCCCGUAUUAUUAGUCAUUGCUUAUAUUGUUAAAAUAUGACACUGUUCUACAAAAUCAGCGUUUGUCUAACAUUAUUAGAAAAGACUGCAUUGUUUUUGACAUCUCAGAGGCAGUUCCAUAUCCUUAUGUCUUUAUGAUGUAUAUCCAGGUAAUGUACCAUACACGUUGAGAGCAAAACCGCAAACACAUUCGUUUUAAUUGUCUUGGACUUAAUCAUUAGAGUGUGACAGAAUUCAGACUAAUCUGCACACCUGGUUCUGAUUGUCUGUCUGUCUCCUCUGAGCACCACUCGGCCUCUGUAUCUGUGCUUCUGAUACUCUGUGCUUCUCAACUCAGUUUCACUCAGCCUCUGUAUCUGUGCUUCUGAUUGGCUGUCUGUCUCAACUUAGUUCCACUCAGUCUCUGUAUCUGUGCUUCUGAUUGGCUGUCUGGCUCAACUCAGUUGCACUCAGCCUCUGUAUCUGUGCUUCUGAUUGGCUGUCUGUCUCCUCAGUAUCUCUGGCGCUAGAGAGAAAACAAAGCUGACAAACCGGUGACAGGAUCUGUAAGGAGCUAAAGCUCAAUUACCUUACGGAUGCAAUCAGUAGCUGAUAUGGUAUGCUCCUGUCUACCACAGACAGAUGCCUGCUCCUGUCUACCACAGCCGGAUGUCUAUGAAGGCUGAUGGAUGGGAAUGUGUCCCUUAUAUUUCAACAGUGCCUUGAUUAGACGUUUUAAAAAUAAUAGCCUUUGUUAAGUUCAUGAAGUUCCUGACAUACUGUAAGUGGAUGCAGAUGCGUCAUUCUAAAACGGAGAGGUAGUGCUCUCCCUACAGAGUGUGCACCUAAACUCCAAUAAGGGAGUGAACUUUAUUUAUAAUAAGGGUUAAAUGGAUAAAACUGGAAUUCUCUGAAAUUAAAAUGGAUUGCUCUCCCUUCAGCAAAAUAUAUUUUACCUAAACGUUCCCUGAACGCCUGAAAAAAUAAAAAGUGACCCCUCCCUAUACACAAAGUAAUAAUGAAAACAAAGUGGAUAGCAGAGAACAUGUCAGUUUAGCCUCAUUUCUUGGACAGACCAGAUCCUUAGAUAUGCAGUUUUAGAAACUGUUCUUCAUCCUGUUAGCAUUACAUGGCAACGUGGGAAUUUUGAUAGUGCACAGGGCUGCGGGCUAGAAGGUUGUGGGUUCGCAGACCAACGUGGUGAAGAGUAGGGUGGAAAAACUCCUUUAUAGUAAAAGCAUUGCAUGAGUCUAUCAUCGUAUUUGCAGGUCCAAGACAAAAUUGCUUUUCAUAGAUAUUUCAUGCAAUUCAACGUAAUUUUACAUAUUAG